GGAAAAGAAACUAACAAGGAUUCCCCUAGUAGCGGCGAGCGAAGCGGGAAGAGCUCAAAUUUAUAAUCUGGCGCUUUCGGCGUCCGAGUUGUAAUCUCUAGAAGUGUUUUCCGCGUUGGACCGCACAUAAGUCUGUUGGAAUACAGCGGCACAGUGGUGAGACCCCCGUUCACGGUGCGGAUGCCCAAUGCUUUGUGAUACACUUUCGAAGAGUCGAGUUGUUUGGGAAUGCAGCUCAAAUUGGGUGGUAAAUUCCAUCUAAAGCUAAAUAUUGGCGAGAGACCGAUAGCGAACAAGUACCGUGAGGGAAAGAUGAAAAGCACUUUGGAAAGAGAGUUAACAGUACGUGAAAUUGUUGGAAGGGAAACGCUUGAAGUCAGACUUGCUAUUCGGGGCUUGCUCCGAGUUGCAGGCCAGCAUCAGUUUUUCGGGGCGGAAAAUCACGGAUUGAAGGUAGCAGUUUCGGCUGUGUUAUAGCUUUCCGUUGGAUACGUCCUGGGGGACUGAGGAACGCAGUGUGCUUUUAGCGAGGGCUUCGGCUCUUUCACACUUAGGAUGCUGGUGGAAUGGCUUUAAACGACCCGUCUUG
Molecule: ribosomal RNA, 589 nt
Filed under: Rhodosporidiobolus ruineniae
Lineage: Eukaryota; Fungi; Basidiomycota; Microbotryomycetes; Sporidiobolales; Sporidiobolaceae
Description: partial large subunit ribosomal RNA
Rfam family: Eukaryotic large subunit ribosomal RNA
Source: RNAcentral